RNAcentral lists this ribosomal RNA (465 nucleotides) under uncultured bacterium. Its description in RNAcentral is "partial 16S ribosomal RNA". It matches the Rfam family "Bacterial small subunit ribosomal RNA", at positions 28 to 507 of the family's 1533-position model. The record is from RNAcentral.
GACGAACGCUGGCGGCGUGCUUAACACAUGCAAGUCGAACGGAAAGGCCCUGCUUGCAGGGUACUCGAGUGGCGAACGGGUGAGUAACACGUGGGUGAUCUGCCCUGCACUUCGGGAUAAGCCUGGGAAACUGGGUCUAAUACCGGAUAGGAGCAAUUUUUAGUGUGAUGGUUGGAAAGUUUUUUCGGUGUAGGAUGAGCUCGCGGCCUAUCAGCUUGUUGGUGGGGUAAUGGCCUACCAAGGCGGCGACGGGUAGCCGGCCUGAGAGGGUGGACGGCCACACUGGGACUGAGAUACGGCCCAGACUCCUACGGUAGGCAGCAGUGGGGAAUAUUGCACAAUGGGCGCAAGGCUGCUGCAGCGGCGCCGCGUGGGGGAUAACGGCCUUCGGGUUGUAAACUCCUUUCGCUAGGGACGAAGCUUUUUGUGACGGUACCUAGAGAAGAAGCACCGGCUAACUACGUG